CAUGGGGUGCAAACGUUGCUCGGAAUUAUUGGGCGUAAAGCGCGCGUAGGCGGCUACUUAAGUCGGAUGUGAAAGCCCCUGGCUCAACUGGGGAAGUGCACCCGAAACUGAGUAGCUAGAGUACAAAAGAGGGCCGCGGAAUUCCCGGUGUAGAGGUGAAAUUCGUAGAUAUCGGGAGGAACACCGGUGGCGAAGGCGGCGGCCUGGGUUGAUACUGACGCUGAGGCGCGAAAGCGUGGGGAGCAAACAGGAUUAGAUACCCUGGUAGUCCACGCCGUAAACGAUGAGUGCUAGAUGUUUCUGGUAUUGACCCCGGAGGCGUCGUAGCUAACGCGUUAAGCACUCCGCCUGGGGAGUACGGCCGCAAGGCUA
This 372-nucleotide ribosomal RNA is filed under the name uncultured organism. Its description in RNAcentral is "bacterial SSU rRNA". It matches the Rfam family "Bacterial small subunit ribosomal RNA", at positions 526 to 896 of the family's 1533-position model. The record is from RNAcentral.